Molecule: long non-coding RNA, 36095 nt
Filed under: Volvox carteri
Lineage: Eukaryota; Viridiplantae; Chlorophyta; Chlorophyceae; Chlamydomonadales; Volvocaceae
Description: long non-coding RNA (VCAR_LNC003566)
Source: RNAcentral
ACACGCAUGCACAUACAUACACACACCUAAGUCCCCGCCCGUCCUCUUUCCCCCCCCAAUACCCACGGUGUCCCACUCCUCCUGCGUCAUGAGCCCCUGCUCCACAAUCUCCUUCGGACUGAUGGGCACAUCGUGAUCCUCGGCCUUGGUGGUGGGGGUGAUGACGUUGGCGACCAGCCGGUCGUUCUUCCUCAUGCCAUCGGGGAAGCUGUUGCCGCAGUACUGGCGGGCGCCCGCCUUGUAGUGGGUCCACAGACUGGUGUCAGUAGAGCCUGUUUAGGAAACGGUUUGGGUUGGAAACGCAAAAAGAGAAACCACCGCCGGGGGCCUCCGGACGUCUCCCCCCGUCAGGGGCCGCCUAGGAGCAAUAUUGGUACAAAUGCCGAUGUACCAAGUACCGACGUGCCCAGAAGUGGAAUGCACAUGUCGAUUCCAGCUGCCCUAACCCCCCCCCCCACCACCCCCCUAGCAACCCCCCUCCCCAGCCCCCUUAGCCACACACCACCCACCCCCCUAGCCACACACCACCCACCCGUCAUGAAGCCACGGCAAACGAACUCCACUGGGAAGACCCGGCACUUCUUCAUGACCGCCACGUUGGGGUCGGGCAGGGUGAGCAGGGCGGAGGGGACGAUGUGGGAGGUGGCGGAGAACCACCAGGCGGCGGUCUGGUUGAGAACCUGUGGAGUGGGGGAGUGGGGGGUGUGGAGGGGUCUAGGGUGCAGGGGCCUAGGGUGGAGGGGGUUUCAUGAGGAGUCAACCAGACCAGGGGCCUAUGUGGGGGGUGAUCAGACAACGUUAUUGGGGGGGGAGUAGCGCUAAGGCCCGGCCGCCCACCCGGGGUCCUCAGGUAGACCGUGAGGAGGUGGGUUUCUAGUCAGUGAAUGGGCCGCGAGCAGCAUCAGCAUCAGCCGUAGCAUCGGCCCCCUCCCUUCCAAGCAACCGCGAUAUUUGCAUUCAGUUCACGUCCGGGCCACUGUUUCCUUGCCUGUCUCACGGCUAUCCUCCCACCCUCCGCCCUCUGCCGGGUUCCCUCCGCCACUCGUGCUCUAACUUCCUUCCCCCACACCAACACCGUCCGAUAUUACGCCUAAAGACGCCCCCGGACUGUCGUUCCCCCGCCCCUCCCGACGUCGACAGUCCAUCACUUGUUCCUUGCAAUCCAAUUCCCCCUCCCCCUCCCCCUCAAAUUUCAAAUCAGCCAGCCAGCUACUAGUAUUCCUCAGCAGCAUUUGCAUGUCCCCCUGUCCUUUAUCGCACCCGCCUCACCUCUUUGUUACCCUUUUGUUUUUGCAUGUGUCUUUUGCCACUACUUCGGCGGCCUGGCCAGGUGAGUCCAAAAGGUGGUUCGAGCUUCUUUGGUAUUUCGCGUUGGCGUCGGUAGGCUAGCCGGAAUAGUUUAGUUUGGGUCGGUCGGGUCAGUCGCGCGUUCUAGUUUUUUUGGGGGGUUGGGAGGAACACUUGCAUACCGGCAGCCUUUCAGUAUCAGCAAUGCAGCUUUCUCUCCCAGCCAGCAACUUUACGCCACUUUUACGUCAGCAUUUUUUUCUCGCCGCCUUUACUACUUCUUCUACACCUACUAGUUUACGGUCUGGCUAUAAUAUUUCUGGCGGCUUAGGUAGGUAGGACUUCCAACAUCUACGUCAAUUCUUCAUCCCGAGGUUACAGUCGUCAUCCCGAGGUUACAGUCGUCACAGUCGCCACGGACGCCUUUCGGUCAGUUCUUUCGGUUGCUACUAUCUUGCCCUGGCAGCAGCUUCAAUCGCGUGUGGUUCGUCUUUCCCCCUCCCCCUCCCACACCCCGCCCUGUGUGGCCCCGCCCCCGGGUCCCCAUACCGCUCACCUGGCCCUUAAACGGCACGGACGCCAGCAGCCUGUCGAACGCCGACUGGCGGUCCGUGGUCACAAUGACCACCCGGUCACCCAGGUCAUACGUGUCGCGAACCUUACCCUGAGGCGAUGAAAGGGGAGAGGAAGAGGGGGCCAGGGGGGGGGGGAAAGGGCCGCCGACAGCAGCCCAGGGUGCCUCAGGGGUUGCCCCGGCAGCUGGCAACAAGAGGAGGAAGCGGCAGGCAAAGGAAGAUACGGUCUGUACACAUGGGGUGGAAAGGCCCCUGCUGCUAAAACCCUAAAACCCUAACACCUCCGCCCCGUUGUUACCUGCUCCAUUCACCAGUGGUUCGUCUUACCCCCCUUUCCCCGUGCGCAAGCCCCCCCCUUCAUCGUCUUCCCCGCCACAGGUCCCACUGCGGAGGAGCUCGGGAGGCCGUGAGGACUCGAUCCCCCUACCUCGGGGGAUUUCCAACUGGGCUUCCAGAGCCUAGAGGCCUAGAGGCACCGCCUUGGCUCUCAAGCGAGGCCAGUGCCCCACGUGGGCCCCAAGGGGGGGAGAUGGUCCCCGGGGACGCCCCGGCAGAGGCCCCCGGCAGCCCAGAGAUCUGCCCCCAUCUCUCUCCCCCCCAGCCCUGACCACUUUCACCCGUCAGUGUCGCACCUGACGACGGUUGGGCAGAGGAAGGUCUGUAGCAGUAAGGCAGUUGUUCUGAGCCUGGGACACAUGGGCAUCAGAGGGAUGUCGGAGUAUAAAUGUUUAGUUUGGCAACCAAAUGAAAGCAUGAGGAUGAAGCCUACCUUGGCAAUGGCCUCAACGACCUCCGGCCGCACGCCGCUGAUUGACUCCACUGCCCUACAGGCAGCAAGUUGUAGGAGCGGAUUGGACGCGUCAGUGCGGGAGAAGGUCAAGAAUGAGGGCGCAAUUUAAUUGAAUCGUUUACUGCAGGUUGGCGUAUGGUAAGGGGGGCACGAUGAGAGCUCUGUCCACGUGUUUCUUAGGCGUGACUAAGGACCGACCCGAAAGCCAUUGACAGCUCCCAUUAGAUAAGCUGUAAAAUCGCCUCUAGAUAUAUUUAAUUGUUUGGCAGCACCGACGCACGGGCUGUCUUCUGGACUUACGGUGAAGAAGCUGCCUGGGCACGUAAGACUAGCACACGGCGGCCAUUUGCAGCUCCGACACACGCUUUCCCUGAGCAGCGUGCCGGACGCUUUGCCAAUGACUGCAUUUAAAUAGUUGUUGGCAAGAAAAGCAGUAACUCCAGCAGUCGGCUUGAGCAGGUUCAACUCCGGGAAAACGUGCUGCGGCGCGUGCUUAAGAAGGCUGUGCGUUUAGAGUCGCUUAAGCACAGUCAGGAGGAAUAAGUAUACGUGCCCACUGCAAAAGGAAAACAAUUGUUUGCGCAUAGAUAACUCCCUUGCCCAGCUGCACGUGCAAGACCGCCGUACGUGUGUUUGCUGUACCAGUACGUUGGUUAAGUUUGUUGACCCCUUUCGACAACACUGGUGCGUAAACCGAAAGACACUUGCUAGUAUCAUUAUGGCUUUCGGCACACAACAAAUUAAAUGAUAAUGUGGUGUUAAAGGACUACAUUUGAUUUUCUCUGUUUUGAUUUUCCAUGCAAAAUGUUCUAGCUCUUUUAACAAUAGAAUAACGAAUAUUGAAGGGGCAGAGAUUGUACUCACCUGUUUGAAAUAAGCUGCUAUGUAAACUGCUCCUACAGGCAGAUGGGAUACAUGGCUACCGCAGGAGCUAGAUAUAAUGGAUGAUAAAAGGUGGGAACCCAAGUCAUGAGGAUCGUAUAACGUCAUAGUAUCUACCUCUUCUACCAGCAUCUAAGUGUGCAUGGUAUGGCUUUGGUCUGAGCGUAGGCUCCUGGACGGGCUUGUUGCAUUAGAAGGCUUCAUUCUACCGCCAAAACACCCUCCCCCAAGGGAAGAAGGCCGGCGGUCAGGAACCUCUGAACCAUCGGGUGCUCAUAAGCUCAGCUCAGGCCAGGAGCCGACGACCAUCACAAACCUUAUACCGUCUUCUCAGAUAAAGGAUGAUUAUGGAGCUUGCGCAACUUCAGGGCAGUCGACAGUUAGUGGUUGGCAUCUAUCCAGCGUGCCGCCCAUGCCCGCUGGGGCUCCCACCCUUGCUUUCUUUCUGCAGCUCCCAGCAACCUCUGACCAUGCUUUCUCUGCAGCAUUAAUUCCACAAUCGCAGCCACAAAAUACUUGCCAAUAUGGGCAACGGGUGUUACAUUCGACCGCCGAUGCUCAGCGCCCUAGAUCCGCAGUGCCUCCAGAGCGUCAAGUUCUGAGAUUGGCGACAACAACUGGGAGCUCGUUCCCGGCGGAGCCUACAAACUCUGCAGCAGCGAGCGAGGCUGCUAACAGGUUCGACCCUAGCUUCCUGCAAAAGGCAGUUCUCCUCCUCACCUUCAAAUCGCCAGCAGCCACACAUGCCGCCCUGGCCAGGCUUCACUCUGCGGCUCUGGCCACUCAGGGGCGAGCAGCACUGGCGGCCAUACAGCCCGUAGCCCUAGUCGCUCGGGUUUUCGCCAAUGCAGCUGCAGCAGGUGACUACACCACCGGCGAGCGGGCAGCAAUCGUGCUGCUGGCGCUGCUCACAAACGCGCAGCUAAAGUUGCCCAAGGACGUGGCGGGGCCCGUCAUCAUCCCCACAGCGGUGCUACUCCUGGGCGGCAGCGGCGCCGCUGCCACGGCAGGCGCGGCUGCCGUCGCUGCAGCGGCAGCAGCGGCAGACGCGGACGGCACGCUGAGCAGCACCGGCCUGCACGUGCGGCUACAGACCUAUCCCACGGCGGCGAUGUUUCCGUCAGGAGUACUGCCGCCUGCCGCCAUUGUACGCUCCCCCCCAUGGUUCGCCCGCAGCAGCUCCCCCUAUCAGUUGCCGGCUCGCGGCUGCCCGACUGCUGCUCCACCUGGCGACUUCCCCCUCUUUCCCCGGGGAUGGCUCGCCAGAUACAAACGCCCCCAUCCGGGGAGCCGGAGGCGGAACCGGAGCCAGUGCCCGCCUCCAGCAGCCAAACCCCAUCCCAGGCCGGGGGCCAGCAUGUGAUAGGCUGGUGUCUGCCGGCGCACUAGAGGCAUGCUGCGAGGCGCUCAACGUGUCCGUGGGCUCGGUAACUGCCGGGGCACCGGAGCUGGUGUGCCUCACACUCCAGCUGCUAGCGGCGCUGACGGCCGACGUGACGGGUUGGCCCUGGCAGUGGCCCGUGGUUCGCGCCGCGGUAGUGGAUGGGUGCGCGCGGCACGCGGUGGCGCUCAUGCAGCUUCUGGACGGCGGCGACGGCAGCAGCGACUGGUGUGGUAGUGGCGGUGUUGAGGGUGGCGGCGCAGAUGUGGGCGUAGGCUUUCUGGGGUCCGGCAUGAGGGUGGAGGCGGAAGCCCACGCAGCGGCGCGGAGCGUCGUGGUUCACUUCGCCCGCGGCCCGCUGCUGGUCCGGGAGGCGCUGUUCCGGGCGGGGGCCUUGUCGGCCGUGGUGGAGGCCAUCAUGAUGUGGCCACCGCCGCCGCCGUCCUCAGCACGCGGCUCUUCCGGCCCCACGAGGCGACCUCCCUCCGCGGCGACCUCCGCGGGCCGCAGCCGGCUGCUGCACUUCUCACUGUGCCUGGGGGUGCUGCUGAACCUGUCCUCCCUUCCCCGGGUGCGGGCGGUGCUGACGACUCCUGCGCUCGGGGCGCUUCUGCGGCACCUGCUAGGCCUACUGGAGCAACAUCAGUCUUGGGACGGCCAUGUGCGGGGGGGAGGCGCGGCUGCGGCUGCGGCUAUUGUUGGGGCGCAGCAGGAGCAGCCACUGCUCGGGGAGGGCGGUGCGGCGGCGGCGGUGCCGACAGCGGCUGAAGCGGAGCUUGCGGCGGCUGAUCGCAUUCCGUUGCCGGACAUCCACAGCACGCUUCUGGAGCUGCUGUUGAACCUCGCGUUGGACCCGCAAUGCCACCCGGGGCUGGCGGCGCAGGGCGUGGAGGCGCUGCUGGUUCGCUGCAUCGCGGCUGAGCAGCAGGUACGGCUGGAUCCUGGAUCCGACCAGCAUCAGCCUGACAGUCCCGCCGGCCUCCGUACGGAGAAGGAAAAGCAUGGGGAGGGGGGGAAAGAACCAACAUGCGUAUCACGCCAGCCGCCUCCUGCUCCUUACCACCACCAGUAUCAGCAGCCGCAGUUCUACCAGCAGCCGUGGAGAGCGGCGGCAGCGCUCCGUCUCGUGGCGGCUCUCUCCGCCGACUCACGGCUCUCCGCGCCGCGGCCGGUGAUGCAACUGGGCCUCGCAUCGGUCGGGGCCGUUGAGGUGGUUGCACUCGAGGUUCAGUCCGCGAGUAAGGCCCUGCCAGCUGCCGGCGCCGCUGCAGCGUACGACCUGGCUGUGACGGCGCUCUGUGCGCUCAUGACGGGCAACGGCGAGCUGCAGCGGUGCGUGGCCGGCAUGCCGGAGUUGCUGACGGCGCUGUCGGCCGUGUUGCCGCAGCCGGCGGUGACGUCCAGUGACUCGCGGCUGCGGAUAACUCUGACAGCCUGGCGCCUGACCACCUCUCCACUCACAGCUCCCGGGGCGGAUGAGGCCAUAGCUCGAAGCCUGCUGGUGGGCCUGGGCCAUAACCCCGAGGCGGUGAUGUACGGCACGUCUGGCGUCCAGGGUGGCGGCGGCGGGGGCGGCUCUCUCUUCGUCAUGCACGGUGACAAGAGUCGGGCGCUGUCGUACGACCCGGCGGCGCGGCCUUCGAAGCGUCAGCACCGGCAGUCAGUCCUGCUUGCGGCGUCUGAGCUACACAGCCGGCUCGGUGACGGCGGCGGCGGCGACAGCUCCCCUGUACACCACCACCGGACGCCCGCCCUGGGGAGCCGACGUUCCUUCGAACUACAGGUCUCCGAGAUUGAGCGAGGAACUGGACCUCUGGUGCCUACAGCAGUGUCCGCCGUGAUCGCGACCAACACCGCCAACAACAGGCCACCGACGUCGUCCGCAGCAGCAAAGGCCGCGGCGGCGGCGGGAGCUGGCAGUGUCGCAUCCGCCGCCGCCGCGUCUCCGCCGUUGUGGACUGGGCCGCUCCUUCCCGGCACCCCCCUGCCCCCCCCCGGCGCCCCCCCCCCCGACGUGUCCCCCCUCCAGCUGCCCAGCUGCGUGGUGCCCGUGGUGUCGUCGGAGAGCCGGCCGCCGAGCUCCCGUGGAGAGGGGGCUGGGGAGGGACGGGUUGGCAGGUGAGGAGAGGCAGGGGGACAGGCGAACCACAGACGAGUGAUGCUGCUGGUACCAGAGAUAGGCGCAUACCCUGCAGGACUAGACAGAUGCUGCAGGCGGCCGGGGGGACUGACUGCCGCUGGGGCUCCCUGACGUUGUGCACUGUGUGUUUUGGAGUGGGGGGUUCUCACUGCUGGUGGCCGUGGCAGGACGAGGGGAGGGCUGCGGGCGGUCUGGAGACCCCGUGUGUCUGACGGCUCUCACGAGGCGCUGCUGCACAUGAGCGCAGUAGUGCCGCUCUUGUCCUGUGUGGCCGUCACCACUAGGCCGCCAGCUUGCGAUGUGGGGGUGUGGCGCAGCGGCGCGUGCAGAGCCUGACUUUGAGAUAGAAGUGACGACAUGGAAACAGACUGGCCACGCAUGCAGCAAGUGAUGGAGACGUAGCGAACGGUCACGUAGCCCCAACAAGCCCUAAGUCCCUGCGUACCACAACCUUCACGGCGGUGUGUGUUGUUCCGAUUUGCAGCAGGUCCGUUUCAAGGUCCACUUCGAGGCCCGUGUCCAGGACCAGCCGACCGGCAAGCCAGGCUGUCGCCGCGGAGGCGCCCGGAAGCAAGCCACCGCCACCGCCGCCGCCUCAUCGCUCUGUUUUCUUUACCUCCGACAGCGACGAUAACGGCUGUGGCGGGGCGGCGGCGGUCCCGUCAGCCGGCGGUGACGUAAUCGGCAUGGGGCUUAUCGCCAAGCCCGGGUCGCAUGGCUUGGCGGUGAUGCCACCAGCGUCAGCGACGGCGGCAGGAAAGUGUACGGCAGCAGGAGUAAUGCUGUUUCCAUUGCCGCCGGAUGGCUCAGUGGCGGAGCCUCCCGUACUGACGAGCCUUCCCGGGGAGUUGUUGCCGUCGCCGGCAGACGAGGGAUACUCGCGUGCGGGAGGAGAUGCCGGCAGCAACAGCAGCAGCCAGCGGCACCGGCGGAGCAGUGGUGGCGGCGGCGGCGGCGGCGGCGGGCCCCAGACGCCGCCCCGUUCUAUUGGCGCCCAGCGGAGGUCCUCCUCCAACUGCGAGACCGGGGCCUGCGGUGAAGUCCCCCCUUGCGCGGCUGCACCUGCUGACCAGCCCUUCACCACCACCACCACCACCACCAUCACCACUAGCCUCCAUCCGGCACUGGCGGCGCACUCCGUUCCCCGCACCCCCUCGUCUCCGCGGCUGGCAGUAGCAGCAUGUGGCCCUCAAGAGCAGCAAGCCGCCGCCGCCGCUGCGAAGGAAGCCACCGCCGCCAGAGCACCAGCACCAGCUACAGCGCCAGGCAAAGGUGCAGGCGGCGAUGUACAUACAGGUGACGACGUAUCGCCGCUACUGCCGCCGUCCUAUCCCCAGAAGGGGACGGACCAGCUGCUGCCCGCCGCGGCGGUGACCCCCGCGUUGGAGAUGGCGCCGCCACUGCUGUGCCUGGUGACGCACCUUCAGGCGCUGCUGGCCCGACCCGCCUGCCGCGCGGUGGCGGCGCUGGUGCUGGUGCAGCUGGCGCAGCUGGAGGUUGUACGGCGCAGUGCCGUCAUGGCGGCGGGCUGGGGGGCCCUCCUGGAGGCCGUCACAUCCAGUCUCAUGGGCGGCCCUGGGGCGGAGCGAGGAGGAGGAGGAAUCACAGAGUAAGGGCUGGGGACUGCAAGCGGGGGCAGGGGAGUGAUUUGGGCGGGGGAAAGGCGGGUUGUACAACACAGUGGUCUGUUGGGGUAAGUUGGGGAAUGAAGGGGGCCUCUCAGCGCACGGUGAUGUAGGCGGUGAUGUAGGCGAAGAAAGCAAACCGUUGGACGCACCUCUGCUCCUGCAACCUUUACCUUUCCAAGCUGUGUGCGCGCCCCUCUCUAAGGGGCAGUAAGGGACCCCCAGAGGAACCCCGUGCCGCUGAGCCAGGGGGCCAUUGGCGAGCGCCCCGUCUCGCACGCGCUCCUCCCGACCUUCAUGCCUUGCCGUCCUCUCCCUCUUCACCUCCCUCGAGCAGAUCGGAAGAGGGCCAGCCGCUCCUCUAUUCCGGUUUUUCCGCCACCGCCUCCGCCCCCUCCGCCGCCUCGACGGGCCUUCCCAAUCACCCCCGGGACAAGCUGGCCCUCCUGGAGGUGCUGGUGGUGGCGGCGGGGGGCUCCGCGGGGGAGGGCCGCUCCGCCCUCACCUCCCCGCCCGUCGUCUUGGCGCUGUGCGACCUGGCAUGCGGGUGGGGCAGCCUGGCAGCCAGCCUAGCCCGCCGGGAAGACACCCUCUGCUCCCAGCCCGGUCGCGGAUUGGCACCGACGGCCGCGAGGUCCCGCGCCUGGCCAUUGCAUAGCCAGCACUACCACUACCGCCACCAUCACCAUCAUAAGAGCGGAACCGGCGGCGGCGGCGGGGGGGUAGCUGACAGCAGCCGCCAGCAGCAGCACAGCAGCAGUUAAGGCAGCUGCUGUGUACGGAGCCUUAUCUGACUCGCGGCCGGACUUUGGCGAUGGAGAUCUUGGGCGAGUUGCUCAAGGCGGGGGGGGAGGCGCAGGUGGCGGCUCAGAUGCAGGUGGGGAGGAGGGCAGGUGGGGAGGGGUGAGGGGAAGGGAAGGGGGGGAAGAGGGAGGGGUGAGGGGAAGGGAGGGGGGGGAAGAGGGAGGGGUGAGGGAAAGGGAGGGGGGAGAUAAGGGGAGUGGAGCAGGGUUGGGGGUAAAACAGCCUUGAGGGUAGUUUAGGGCGGCGAACAAUCAGACUGUUUUUCGCCGAUGAUGCUGGGGAGACGUUUUGAGUGGACUGGGGGCAUUUUGGCGCCGUCAUUGGCUCGUGCUUCUUUGGUGGGCGGGGUAGGGGCUUUAGGGGAUUGUGGCCCGAUCCGUGGGUCAUUUAUGAGGGUCACGACGGCAAAAGGCCGUCUUAGAAGGUUCCUGAAACGAUCUUAAUUAUGACUUGCACGCGACCUCCCCCCCUCAUUCUGUGCCCGCGUGCACGUAUUUCGCCACAUGUGUGUGUGGUGUGUGUGUGUCUCCCCGCAGAAUGGCCGCGUGGGCGCCGUACUGGCCGAGCAACUGUUACAGGCCCUCGUGGUGGCGGUAGAGUCGCCUGCGCCGCCUCACCAGGCGCUGUCGGAUUCCGGCGCCGCCACUGCGUCCCCCAGGGGUUCCCUGGCGGCGGAGGAGCAGCAGCGGCAGCGCAACGCGGCUGGUCGGCUGCUGCUCCGGCUUGUGGAAUGUGCGAGCUGCGCGCGGGAGUUCCUGUCUCGCCCCGGGGUGGUGUCGGCACUGCUGGACCUGCUGUCGCAUGUGUGGUGAGUUCCUUGGCAGUGACGAGUGUCAGUGACCCCAUAACCCGCUCUUAUUAUAAUCUUGGCGGCUAGGUAGGUAGUUCUCCGCUGUCGUCACCACUACAUCAUCGCGAGGACUGCUUCUUCACAACCGCCGACUGGUCGGUCCCAAUGCUUCCCGUACAUCUGCCGCAGCAGUCUUUCCCUCCUUGGCAGCAGGUUCACUCGCUCGUGUGGUUCAUCUUUCCCCCCAUAACCCGCAACCCCGGCGCCCUGUUAGCAUCAGCCAUAUGCCAAUCCAGAGUUCCUCAUCCGCCACCACGUUCUAUCCUUCAGCGCCGCCGCCGCCCGUAGUACGUCCGUAGUACGUCCGUACAAAAGAUCAGCGACCUAUCAAGGCGGACCAUGGGGGCUCACCGGGGCCGGUGCCGGACCUCACAUGCAUCUGGUACCUAUGAUGGCUUGCUGCGAGAGAUGGGAGAUGGGGGGGGAAGGAGGGGAUGGCGGCACAGGGGCAAUUUUACCUGCCUCCCUUGUGUGUGUCUGUGUGUAUGUAUGUGCGCAGGGACACCCACGGCCCCGCCCUACUUCCCCCGGCCGCCUCCACCCGCCCUCCACCACUUCGUACGGAUCUCACCGCCAGCAGCUCCUACAACGGCACAGCCCUCUCCCGCGCCAUUCUCCGCGGGUCCCUCGGGCCCAUAUCCGCCGGUGCCGCCGCCGGGGGGGGGCCGAUAGAGGUCAACGGCGGUAUCAGCGCCAGCACCACCGACAGCAACCUCAACCUCAACCUCAACUUGGCCCUGGCCAACCGGCGCAGCUCCAACAUGCACGCGGACAGCCAGCAGAGGAUCACAGGCAGCGGCGCGCUGCCGCCACCGCCGCCGUCAUCAUCUCCAUCUCAGUCCCUUUUGGCCUCCGCUGCCGCCGCUGGCGGCGGCGCCAAUAGUACGGCAGCCCCGACGUCUCCGUUCGCCCUGCCAGGAGGAAGCGGGGCGCUGUUGUCCGCCGGCGCCCAACUCCCGCCGCCCCGUUCACUGCCACUUAGCCCGACCGGCAACUCCACCACCAACACCACCAGCACCACCGCGGAGGGGCGCCCGAGCUUCGACAUGCGCCGGUCCGUCACGACGGGGCCUGGCGGUGCCGGCGCCGGCGGCGGCAGUGGAGCUGGGAGCUUGGGGACCGCGGCAUCAUUGCACUUGGCGCUGCAGCAGCAGCCGCGGUGUCAGAGCCCCCUGCUGGGCGCCACUCGCAGCGGUGGCGGGCUGGUUUCGGGGCCGGGGCUGCACUCGCCCGCGCCCCACGGAGUGCCCACCCGCAUGUCGCUACAUGCGGCCAUGUGCACCGAGACGUCGCAGUGGACGUCCCCCGCGCAGCAUGCGAUGAAGGUGCGCGGGCAGGUCCCAUCUGUGUGUGCAUGUGUGUAUACGAAUGUGUAUGUGCGUAUAUGUAUGUGCGGCCUGAUGUGUUUUGCACAUCAAGGGCUAUGGACCGCAUGCAGCUCCUUCAACGCAUUCUGACGUGUGAUAUUGGCGACAUUCUCCAUUCCUAGCACGGCUUUGUUGUGCUCCUGCUGCUACCCUGCCCUACCCUACCCUACCCGCACAGGUCCUGGAGCUGUCCGAGGAGCGCCAGCCCUCAGGACCCUCAACGUCAGGUUCCCAGCUGCCGUACUUCCGCCAUGCCCACACGCACACCGGUACCGUACCGCCAGGUCGGCCCUCACCGCUCUCCGCGGGCCCGCGCGCCAGUGGGCGGCCGGAAGCUGCAGGCGCUGGCGGCGGCGGCGGUCGUGGCGGUGUUGGAAAUGACCGCAACGAUACCAAUAGUGACAACAGUGAAGAUCUGAGUGACGAAGACAGCUUCUUAAUGCUGGAGGAAGUUGCGCCGCCGCCAAGGAAGCCGCCGCCGCCACCGUCAGCACCACCGGGAGGAGGUGUACGGCAGUCUUCCGUGCUGCUGCCUCCACCACCGCCCCGUGCGAGCGGAUCGCGUAACGGGAGGUUGGCGGAGGUGGCAUUCGUCGCGCACGCCCGGGGCGGCGGCGGCUCUUCAGCCGACGUCGACGGUGUCGCCCCGGUUGAAGACGGGACGGGAGCCGGCGGCGGGGCGGGGAGUGAGGACCGAGAGGGGCCUAGCCUGAUGACCAGUACCGUGGUACGGCAAUUCACCGCGUCUGUCCGAUCAAAUCACACUCACUUUACAGCGGCCUCACAACAUUCGGCCGUCUCGGAUUUCGGAUUUUCCCAUUCGCAUACCCGUAACCCAUGCUCGUUUGCCAUGACAACCAACGGGGCUGUGUUUCUCUGUAUGGCAUCCUCUCUGUACGACAUUCCCACCGGGCAUCGGGUCAGCUUUGACCAUCACCACAAUACCUCGCAUCCGGCGGUGGUGUCGUCCACUGGAAUAGGGACGGGUCGGGGCAUCAUGUCGCCCGCGUCUUCCCAUCCUCCCGCUCCCUUCACUCCCUUGUGCUCGCACUCGCACUCGUACUCUCGCACUCGCGCACUCGCACUCGCACUCUCGUACUUGCACUCGCACUCUCGCACUCUCGCACUCUCGCACUCUCGCACUCGCACUCGCACUCUCGCAUUCUCGCACUCUCACACUCUCGCACUCGCACUCACACUCUCGCACUCGCACUCUCGCAUUCACUCUCGCACUCGCUCUCGCACUCGCUCUCGCACUCUCGCACUUACUCUCGCACUCUCGCACUCGCUCUCGCACUCGCGCACUCGCACUCGCACUCUCGUACUUGCACUCGCACGCUCGUACUUGCACUCGCCCUCUCGCACUCGCACUCGCCCUCUCGCACUCGCACUCGCACUCUCGUACUUGCACUCGCACUCGCACUCUCGCACUCGGCCUCUCGCAUUCGCACUCGCUCUCUCGCACUCGCACUCGCACUCGCACCCUCGCACUCUCGCGCUCGUACUCUCGCACUCGCACUCGCACUCUCGUACACUCGCCCUCUCGCACUCGCCCUCUCGCACUCGCACUCGCCCUCUCGCACUCGCACUCGGCCUCUCGCACUCGCACUCGCCCUCUCGCACUCGCCCUCUCGCACUCGCCCUCUCGCACUCGCACUUGCACUCUCGCACUCGCACUCGCACUCUCGCACUCAAUCUACGGUGGUCAGCCGCCACCACCACCACCACCACCACGCCGCACCUUCGCCCGUCCAUUCCUUAGCAUUACUUCCGCCCAUGAGUGAGUGCGGGGCCCUCCCCUCGUUUCCCCUCCAUAUGCGCAUGAUGACCCCACCUCCCCAGCUACGUCGAGGAACAAGAGCACUGGCGCCCCCCCUGGCACCGGGCACCGGACUGCCCUCGGGAAGCCCCACAGCGCCGCGCACAGCCGCCGCCGCGUCUGCCGUACAGUGCCUUUCUGAGCUGCUACAGCUGUUACGGCUGCUGGCGGAGGGGGAUUUGGACACGGCGCGGGUGAGCUGCUACAGCUGCUUCGGCCGUCUGUGGGCCUUUGGUGCCGAUGAGGCCGCCAGGCAGGGGGCUGUGGGGGGAGAGUAGAGGGCGUUUUGUCCCGUGUACUACGUCGUUUAGGUCCGAUCAAAAACGCAUCGCGUUUGACGUAAAAGAUAAUUGCAUGCAUGCUCAGUUAGAUAAUGGGCAUCAGAUCUGUCAUUGUCACGUACUAAAGGGUUUUUAUUUCAACUUUGACAAAAGCACUGUAUCCUCCUCCCGCUCACGUCGCAGCCCCACGCAGCCGCGUCUCCCCUCCCCCCUUCCUUGCCAUGUACCCUCCUCCGCCGCUGCCAGGCCAUGUCCACCCUCCCAGCAGUGGAGCUCUUCGUAGACCUCCUCGCCGCCGCCAGCCCCCCCUUGGUGCUGGCGGCCCUGGGGCUGCUGGAGCGACUGGCGGAGCGGCAAGACGCGCAUGAGACUUUUUGGGACUGCGACGCCGUCGCGCAGCUGGUGGCCCACUUGCAGAUGAGGUCGGCGGCGGCGGCCGCGGCGGCGGCGGCCGCCGCCGCCGCGGCGGAGCGCAGCAGCGGUGCCGCUGCGCUGCCACGUCCCUCGGCCGGGGAGGUCGCCAUUGCGGGUGCAGGCGGCGACGCCGCUGCCGCCGAGNNNNNNNNNNNNNNNNNNNNNNNNNNNNNNNNNNNNNNNNNNNNNNNNNNNNNNNNNNNNNNNNNNNNNNNNNNNNNNNNNNNNNGGCGACGGAGCUGCCAGCGGCGCUUAUGGCGGUUCUGAAGCGCAGCGCGGACCAAGGGGGGCUGCAGGCGAGUGGAGGGUGCGGGAAGGGGGGCCCGCCGGACAGUGGGAGGACCUAGGCCGUGGAGUAACCACCUUAACUCUGGGUUUUCUGCCCUAGGCGGCGGCCGCCUAGCCGCCUGAGCCGCCCUUCAGAAUCCCUCCUCCUCCCCUUAGCGGUUGGGAAGGGAAGGUUGCUACAGCCUAAUGCUUUACUUCACCCCACGGCUGCCCAGUGCAAUGUCCGUGUUCUUGCUGUUGACGGCUCUCGUCUGGACACUCCACUCCACUCCAGCCUGUUGCGACUUGUUAGUUGCAAUUCCUACUGUCCAGCCAGCCAGCCGCUCGCCUACGCAGCCACAGCCACACGGCCUUCACCUCCGAACGCAGUGCCCCUAGAUGGCUUUAGGGGUUAGUCUCAUCUCCGCCUCCGCAAACAACUCCUCCCCACUCAACUCUUUCCCCCUCUCUCUCCCCCUUACACACAUACAUACAUACAUACACGCAUACACUGCAGGCCAUGGGGCCCCUCUCAGACAGGCCGAUGACCCGACCCGCCGCCACGACCUCCUCGAGCUACCUCCUGGCUAGGCCGCCCUCCUGCCGUACAUCCGUACAACACCUCCCGGGGAGCAACACUUCACUGCUGGUCUGUGUCCUUUCCGCUCUGAGCUCGUUGCUGGACUGUACGGAUGUACGGCGGCAAGUACGUACAAUGUACAGCAGUAGUGUGUUAGAUGCCGUUCUGAUACGAAUUAGGAAGCGAGUGGGCCAGUGCGGGUUGGUAAUUCCCUCCUUACCGCAGGGUGAAGGGGUUAAAGGUAAAGGGGGAUUGCUGUCUCCCAUUGGCUGGCGUGUAGUUGUGGGCAGCAACCCGAGUCACCUCCGUAUCUCAAUGGCGGUGGAGGUCCGAGUCCGGCAGCGGGGUAGCGCUGCACCUCUACAUCUCCACACCUCUGUGACCGACCACUACACUGCGAUUGAGCAAUCCCUGACGAAUGGUUCCUGUCACUACACGCGUUCGUUCGUUCGUUCGUUUACAAAUGCCGGUGUGGUUGUUGGGGUGGGGAUCGCGACCGGAGUGGGGACCUCGAAUGUUUAGUCAGCGGUCGGUGAUCUCCCCCGCCCCACCUCCUCCUUCCCCUUCCCCCCGUCGUGCAACCUCAGGCUCGAGAGCGCCGCUUGCCGUUACAGCUGGGGACCCUGGCUGGUGGCGGCGGCGGCGGCGGUGACCCACGGGUCUGUCAGCUCGCAGCGCUGUGCGGGGAAAAGCUGCGCGAUGACCCGCCUCGCAUCCGCGCUGUCGGCUCUGUGGGUGGUCCGGGGCACUGAUGACAGCAGCAGCAGCAGCAGCAGCAGCAGCAGCGGCGGCGGCGGCGGUGGCGGCCGGAUCUCCCCGCCGCUGCCACUACUGCCACCAGCGGCGGUCUGCUGGGCGGCAUGAACAGCAGCAGCAGUGCUACAGCUGCUACUGCAACAGCUGCAGCCCGGUCAGCACUCGGGGGCUCCCCAGUCUGUCGCUCUAGGUUGCGGCGGGUGGGUGAGUGGGUUAGUGAGUGGAGGGAGGGGAGGGGGGAGAGGGGAUUCCCGCAGGCAGCGAUAGCGCCGCUGACAUCGAUGUGGGAGUGCUGUUGCGUGUCAGGAAGUUGUUGCGUGGCUGGAGCCGGAAGCCGAGUGGCGGUCCGCAGUAUAGCGGAAUGUGGUAACAACAGCUUGCUUGGAACCGGUUGAGGCGGUUUGCGAAGGGGUGUGGGUGAGGGGAGCAAGAGCCUUAAUGGGCCGAAUGCUAGGAGUGGUCUCGGGGGGGGGGAGGGGUGGCCUACCGGGGUCAACAGCAACAACAACAGCAAUAACACAGCAAACAACACGGCAACAGCACAGCAACAGCAACAGGGCGAAGGAGCAGUACUGCAGCAGCUGCGGGUGCUCUGCCUGCCGGACAGCAACCUCCCUGACUCGGCGCAGUUGCUCGAAGCAACAGUUUUGCCAUUGAUAAGAGUUUUGCCAUUAAUAAGAGAGCGAGCUGCAGCGGCCGCGGGUUGGGCGCACCUUUGACAAUUUAAAUUUCAUUUUAAAUGAAAACCUGUGUGCGAUGUACUGAGGGGGGGCUCAUAACCUGCUGGCUCAAUAGGCCGCUUUAUUACGAGAGAUGCCCAUGCUGCGAGCAUUUUUGAACUGCAUAACUGUCGUACACCGUCCCAAAAGGUAGCAGUAGUCCAACCAUACGUUUUUUUCCUGUUGUUGCAAAGAGCUUGCGAACCACUGUGCGGCGGUUGGUUGAUCAGCAUUAGCCGCUAAAAAACCGCCGCCAUCGCAGUGCGAGGCCAGCUAUGACUGUUUUGAUUGCCGUGCGGCUGGGUGGAGGGUCGCUUGGCUGCCCGCUGUAGAGCCGAGCUCAGUAGGUCUUGGCGUGAUCGCAUGGACACUGCUUUUCAUCAACGUGAAACAGUGGCUUGCGACUCGAAUGAUGCGGAGCUGAUGAGCAAUGUGAUGUAUGGGUGGGGGGGGAAGAGCAAUCGCGUCGCGAUUUCUGACGAUGCUGUACGCUGUACGGACCAGCGGAAGCUUCUCUAGGUGUCGUACGGCAGGUCGCAUUCGACCGUUAGUCAGCUGCCAUGACUUACAUGUGGGUCCCCUCGUUGCGAAGGAGGAGCGGAGUACUUCGGGGUUUUAGGUAUGGGUAGUCGGUGUUGACAUACAUACAUGCAUGCCUACACACGUACAUCAUAUACAAGUCCUAGCUAGCACCGCCGAAACAUCUGAGGUGGGAAUCUGAAUUGCACCCAACAAAUGGCACGUCCUACUUGUACGUAUGUAUGUAUGUAUGUGCUUACCUAUUGAACUCACCCUCGCCUGUCAGAGCUGGCGGGGCAACGAAACCCUCCCCCAUAGGGCCCUAUCCAGACAGUGAAUAACGGCCAACGCGUGUGUCUGGCAAGUAGGGGGUAUAUGCCCUUAUAUUCAUGUAUAGCGUUUGCCGUACAGCGCCCAAUUGUUCUAUAAGCUUUGCAAAAACCCAACCUCCAUAUCCCGUGCUGCAUAUGAGCGCUCUUUCGUAUGGCGUGUGGAUUCUCCAAGUCCACUACGUGCCCCUUUCCUUUCUUGAUCUGGCGACGUACCUCCGCCUCUCACUCGUCCAGUUGGGCUCGUCGACACAUACACAUACACAGACACGGUGAUGCAGCAGGGGUGUGGUGGGUUCUAUCACUGCCGGACGUACGUAUAUAUGUACGUAUGUGUGCCCCUUCCACCCUCUCCACGAGCCAAUGGAGUAUUGUUGUACGAGCCCUAUAUGACCACAGGCAUGGCAUUUUGUUCCUGCCCGCGCGGGCAUUCGUUUUCCUGCGAGACCGGAUGGCUGUCUGUACGUGCUGGAAACCGACAUACAUACAUACAUAUAUGUGGACUACAGUGGGAAGUGUUCGUGCAUGCUAGUGCCCCCUCUUCCUCCGCCCUCUUGACAAACUCGUCCUCCGUUAAUCGAUAUACUUCUUUUGUGUCCCCGCCAGUUCCUCCUUGCGGGGGGGGGGCGCUCCAGGACACUCCAAAAGACGUUAAUGAUUUGCUGAGGGGGGGCAGCACUCUCACAGCAGUGCAUGCGCCGCGAAGUAUAUGGGGAUGUGUACAGGUGCGGGUGGCAAUGGCGACUUGGUACUUGGGCUCUGUGGUGGCCCCUACUGCGAGGCCCCCAGGAUUGGAGACUCUGUAAUUAGCCCAUUUUUAUAUCACAUCACACACAACCCCACCCAUAUCUUAUCUAUAAGCAAGCACAGCGAGUGCGUUGUAACUUUGUAUUGCCUUUUUAGGCGUUGCAUACUGCGUACGAGCCUCACCGAUAGCUAGGCUGGUCCUACUGUUGCUGUACCCACCACCGCUGCUUGACGCCAGCUGAGCAUCCGCCGGGGCCCUGGUGACAGCGCUGAUGGGCUUUGUUACUACUCGGCAAGGGCUACGAGCCUUGGCCAGCGUGCUACGAUGUAUGCCCAUGUUGCGCGAGAGAUGACGGCGAGGGAAGCGGCAGGUGGCGCAGUGGAGGAGCGUGUGCCUGCUAACUCCCGUGCAGCCCGUUCGGACACUCACGUCCACGGCAUGGACACCGGUCUUGGGGUUCGGUGUCGGUCCUUUGGGCUGUGACAAAAACGAGGGGGGGUCCUAGGGUGUCAUAGGGCAUUAUGGAUCCUCUGCCUCGACACAAAGGAACUAACAUAAAACGUUACCCGCCGAUGCUUCUUCAGCAGCCCCCCAGGUAUCUAUCAGCUAGAUGUGUGCUUGAUUGGCACCUCUGCUUGCAGCGGUCCGCUUCCUCGUUGCUCCAGUUCUCGUUAUACAGCAGCUCAAGUUCCCCCGGGCGUAUGACUUAGAUUACACUGUGGGCCGCGAGAGCCGGGGGCCGAAGCCGAAACACAGCGCAAGGGUCGGGAGCACACAGCACAAGUCGGUUAGUCUUGUGUGCUCGGGCGUAUGUAUGUACGACCAACACUACGUGUACUAGUGUGGUAUUGUAGAAACUACAGUCCUUCUCAAUAUACGUCAGCAAGACUAGCGGUAACCAAAGUCGAUGAUACGAUAUACAGGGUAGAUCCAUUAACAACAUGCAUUCCAGCAUGAAGUGUCCUUUGAUACCUCGUCUGCACCAGUCACAGCUCCCAUGACACGCAGCUGGAACCCGGAAUAAUAGCUCCGGAACCGACUACUGCAGCCGACUUGGCUGCACUGAAACCCAAAGUUGAUCGGACCUUUGUUACCGGACCGGACGAACAGGGUGGUGUGUACUCGACCACUUCCAGUGGCACUGCAAUUGAACAGUCUUUAGCACCGACCCAACCCAUGCUCUAGACUCAUAAAAACGAGCUCCGGGGAGGGGCCCGAGUAGAGGAAGUACGAAACAAACAUGUUUGCCGCUGCUGCGGCCCAGAAUGGGGACUAAGGACGGGAUCCCGUGUGUGGGGGCCUGGCUGUGUCGUACGCACGUUGCACCUUUUGCAAUCACAACCACGAAGAUCGCUAACACGCACUUGAGAGCGAAUCAGCGCAAUGGUGCAAAUAACUGUAUCUACCCCUCUGAGGUACGGCGGGGGCGAUAUAGGGGGGCCGGAUGAUAUAGUUGUUAUGGUGAUACGGCACCGCGUACAUACACACACACGGUUUGCGGUACAGGUAGGUAUAUCGCUUGCAUAAGGGGACUUGGCCUACAGGUCUCGCAUUGCCCCCUGGUACAGGUCGUCGUCAUCAUGAUGCAUACAUAACGUCACAACUGCCUACUGCCAGCCAGGAGUGCUCUGCAGCGUCAUUAAAGAUAAUGGCGCCCCACGCUUUAGCUUAUAUUGUUUGCACCCAUAUAUAGCUUCGGAACAGCACGCAGCACCGUUAUCACGAUACCCACCUAGCAGCAGCCGUGCACACGUGAACCGCUGGGGGGACACUUCCUUGGACGGGCCGCCUCCGUCCGGGGCUAAGAAGACGAUGAAAGGCGCAACCAGCAGAUAGAUAUUCCUUGCUCUCGCUCGGCCCUUCCGGUGCUCAUCACUGACAUCAGCAGGCAUCAACAGGCGAACAUCACCACACCCGCACGGGGGCGCGGCGGUAUCACCAGUCCGUCCCUUAGGCUGACCUCGCCUCGAUUUCUAAGAUGGGCCAACUUCUUUCUACCGUACGCGUCGUCCUGCCAUCGCGCUACACAGCACAGCUCUUAACAUCCGCUGAUCAUCCGACAUUCAGGCAGCGAGUAGUAGGGGCUCCACACCCAUCUCCGGAAUCUAUCUCAUUGCACAGACAGACAUCUGGACAGUGCGUUAGACGGCUUGCAGGAGACAGCUCUAUUGUCAGGAUCGGUACGUACCGAGCUGACCCGCCUCACUGCCGUACUGUACACCCCACUGCCGUACACAUACCCCAGCUGACUGACCCGCCGCCGCAUCACUAUACGGGCCAACUGCUCUUUAUCCUUCCGAGCACUGCUGCAGCCCCCUGCGAGCCGCCAUAUGUAUAUACGUAACAUAUACAUGCAUACAGAAAUGUAUAUCUAAAUUUAUACAUCAAUGUCUAUAUAUGUUAUAUUCCAUAUAAAGCAUAGGACAACAUAACAACAUAUCCCUGCUUCGCUUUGUUGAUUUGCCUCACCCCCCCUACCCUCACCCCCCCUACCCUCACCCCCCCCCUCGGAACCCACGGAAUGUCCCCCCGGGUGACGGCGACAGAGAGUUGACCACCUGCAGAUUUACAGCUGCGGACGUCCAGUACGUGCAAGCAGGGGAGCGAGUGAGGGCCGCCAUGGCGCGGUGUGCCCCCGCUGGCGCAGCCGCCGCCAGACAUGGGCCUGUGCUGCUGCUCCUUCUUUCCGCCGCGGCAUUGACGUGGCUCCCAGCGGGUGGGGGAGGUUGCGUUUGUGCCUGCCAUUGCCACGCCCGACCCCCUCCCGCUCUCGCUAGGUCUUGCCUUCUGCGUGCGGUUCAGCACCCACACACCCACUCACCUACGCACACUGCAUUCAUGGCGGUCAAAAGCCGCAUGUCUGGCGGCAUGCUUCGUGUGAUGAUGUGGAAUGCGUAUGUCAGUUGUCCCCCAAAAGACCAACAGAAGUAACGAACACGUACGAUUCGGUUGAAAAACGUGCCGUUGAUGUAAACUCCCCCUAAAGAGGAGCCUGUCAUUACGUUGGUCUUACCUCUCGGGAAGUUGCUCAGUACCCAUUACUAUUUUCCGAGCUUGCUUGCCUGAGGAAACGACCAUAACUUCCGUAACUACCAUAUUUACACGAGCCCCACCCUCGCGGUUGUCCGUACUCCAGGUUCAGCCGCCCAAGAAGGUAUCAUCGAGCUGGGCGAGGAGGCAAAAGGGUUUGGAAAGUUGAAGGAAUUUGAAAAGUUGAAGGAAUUUGAAAAGUUGAAGAAAAUUGAAAAGGCGAAGGGCAAGGGCAAGGCCGUGGUGGUCGUGCCGCUCAAGUCACCUCCACCGCCACCCCCACCAUCGCCGGCCCCGCCCUCACCCCCCCCUCCUCCACCUCCUCCACCACCGCCAUCCCCACCACCACCAUCCCCGCCACCCCCUUCCCCCCCUCCGCCCUCACCUCCCCCUCCUUCCGCCGCCGCCUUCUCCUCCUCCUCCGUCNNNNNNNNNNNNNNNNNNNNNNNNNNNNNNNNNNNNNNNNNNNNNNNNNNNNNNNNNNNNNNNNNNNNNNNNNNNNNNNNNNNNNNNNNNNNNNNNNNNNNNNNNNNNNNNNNNNNNNNNNNNNNNNNNNCCCCCUCCUUCCCCCGCUCCCUCCCCACCUUUCUGAACAAGUCCGUGAACGACACCUCCUCCUCCGGACCCUCUCCGCACGUGAAACUCUCGCUGCUGUACCACAUGUCGUACCGCGUGUCAAACCGGAAGUGCCCGCACGUCUCCGCUGCCAGACACACCUGGUAGAGGAGCGGACAGGGGGAGAGCGGACAGGGGGGAGAGCGAGGAGGGCGGGGAGCGCGUGUGAGGGCGGGGAGCGCGUGCGAGGGCGGUCAAGGACGCCAAUUGAAUGGCGAAGGGAGGGGAGGGGGGAGAGGAAAUGGAAAAGCCGCACGACGCAGGUACCCUCCAAGCCGGUUGUUAGUUAAGGGGGCUGCCAACUUCACAGCUAUUCUACAGCCACCACCCACUACAGCUGCUACUGCUGCUGCUCCCGCCGGAACUGCUCCUCGGGAGCAAGGUUGCUGCCGCUACCGCUGUCGCCGCUACCGCUGCCGCCGCUACCGCUGUCGCCCCCACCGCUACUGCCGCUACCGCUGCCGCUGCUACCGCUACUGCCACCACCGCUGCCGCCGCUACCGCUGCCGCCGCUACCGCUGUCGCCGCUACCGCUGCCGCCGCUACCGCUGUCGCCCCUACCGCUACUGCCGCUACCGCUGCCGCUGCUACCGCUACUGCCGCUACCGCUGCCGCCGCUACUGCUGCUACCGCUGUCGCCCCUACCGCUACUGCCGCUACCGCUACUGCCGCUCACCGCUGCCGCCGUUACUGCCGCUACCGUUGCUACCGCCAGUGCUGUUCUUACCGCUCGUAACGGCUGCGGACUGACAGCCACCCGGGGCCCCCUCCCUAACGAUGACCCAGAUCAGACCAGGACACGACUGACAGACUGACGGACGGACGGAACCCAGAUCCUGAAAUACGGCCUACGUGCUGCACGGCCUUUCCAUUCGUGUACGGUGUCGUACCUUGAGGAUGUGCGGAAAGAGGAAGAGCAGGCCCGUGUGCAUUCCGGUCCCCAGACCGAUUGAUGACAGCACGCCCAGACCAACCCACCACACGACGUACUUCACGGUUUCCUGGGGGGUAGGGAUGAUGCCGGGGUGUGGUGUGGGUUGGGUUGGUGUGGGUUGGGUUGGUGUGGUGUGGGUUGGGUUGGUGUGGGUUGGGUUGGUGUGGGUUGGGUUGGUGUGGGUUGGGUUGGUGUGGUGUGGGUUGGUGUGGUGUGGUGUGGGUUGGUGUGGUGUGGUGUGGGUUGGUGUGGUGUGGGUUGGUGUGGGUUGGGUUGGUGUGGGUUGGGUUGGUGUGGUGUGGUGUGGGUUGGUGUGGUGUGGUGUGGGUUGGUGUGGGUUGGGUUGGUGUGGGUUGGGUUGGUGUGGGUUGGGUUGGUGUGGUGUGGUGUGGUGUGGGUUGGUGUGGUGUGGUGUGGUGUGGGUUGGUGUGGUGUGGUGUGGGUUGGGUUGGUGUGGGUUGGGUUGGUGNNNNNNNNNNNNNNNNNNNNNNNNNNNNNNNNNNNNNNNNNNNNNNNNNNCAAGUCCUGUCCGAAUGACCCAUGGGUCGAUGGAGCAUUUCCGUUCGCAAGGUUAUUGCUGCUGCCAUAGUGGUGCUGCAGAUGGUACGGUUGCUGUGGCUGCGACGGCGACGGCUCCGUGGAGGCGCCUAUGGACGCCGCCAGCGACGUCUGGCCGUCGACGUUGCCGCGGCAGUAGCACGCGAUGAGGUGAUCUGCUGCGGCGCGUUCCGCUUCAUCGGCGCCAUUCAACACCACACGCAGCGCGGCCGUCAGCGCCGGCACUGCCUCGGCUACCGCUGUCGCAGCCAGGGGGCCCUGCCCCGCUCCGUCAAGCCCGUCCGCUGCCGUUACCCCCGCCGGCAGCAGCGUCUGUCCGGACGGCCGUACCGUCACGCGCGCCAAGCGUUCCUGCGCCGCCGCCAGGCCGUCGACCAAGUCACCUAGGGCGCCCAGCGCGGCGGCGCGCACCGGCGCCGACGGCACGCCGCCGUUCCGCAGCGCCGCCGCCACCAGCGCCUCUAAUGCCCCUGCAGCAAGCAGCUUGGCCUGGUUUGCGGCACGGUUGGCUUUCUCCGUAGCUCGAUCAGGGUCGGCGGAGGCUACCUGCGGGGCGCACUGUCCAGGGAGGGGAAAGGCAGACAGACAAACUGUCGGAACACGGAAUGGAAGCCGUUCCGGCUGGGCGGCCGGGGCGCAUGUUACGCUGGAGGAGUGGUGAGCGCUGACCCCCGCAAUCCACGUCCUUUGAAUUUCAUGUGUCACUAAAUUGGCGGCCUUGAAAAUAAAUAACUUGUACGGCCUUAUGACCGAUCCGGAGGACGAGACGGCAGAAAGCGUUCCGUUCGGGCCCUUCUCAACGAGCCCUUCUCCACACUGGCUCCCUCUGCUCCCGCCCCAUCUCGACCCCAGCCCCAGGUCUUUCUUCUCCACUUUUUUAUAAAAAGCCGGUCAGGGUCGUGUCGACGGGCUGCCUCACCAGCAGCCGGAAUGUCUCCAGAAGGGCCAACAUGUUGGCCGCCUUCUGUCGCGGCAGCUGCGGCGGCCCCAUCAGCGCGUCACUGCCCGCCGCCGCCAGCGCCGCCAGCGCGUUGUGCAGCUCUAGGGAGGGCUCGUCGGCUGCGUCCAGGCCGUGACCGGCUGCGCCGCCGCCGCCCCCGCCGACAUUAAGGAACGGAAUGGGACCCGCUGCCUGCGCAAAAUGGCCGACACCGGAGGUGACUGCUGCUGGGGCGGUGACGGCGGCGCCAGGCGGUGCCNNNNNNNNNNNNNNNNNNNNNNNNNNNNNNNNNNNNNNNNNNNNNNNNNNGGUUGGUGUGGUGUGGGUUGGGUUGGUGUGGGUUGGGUUGGUGUGGGUUGGGUUGGUGUGGGUUGGGUUGGUGUGGUGUGGGUUGGUGUGGUGUGGUGUGGGUUGGUGUGGUGUGGUGUGGGUUGGUGUGGUGUGGGUUGGUGUGGGUUGGGUUGGUGUGGGUUGGGUUGGUGUGGUGUGGUGUGGGUUGGUGUGGUGUGGUGUGGGUUGGUGUGGGUUGGGUUGGUGUGGGUUGGGUUGGUGUGGGUUGGGUUGGUGUGGUGUGGUGUGGUGUGGGUUGGUGUGGUGUGGUGUGGUGUGGGUUGGUGUGGUGUGGUGUGGGUUGGGUUGGUGUGGGUUGGGUUGGUGUGGGUUGGGUUGGUGUGGUGUGGGUUGGUGUGGUGUGGGUUGGUGUGGGUUGGGUUGGUGUGGGUUGGGUUGGGUUGGUGUGGUGUGGGUUGGUGUGGUUCUCGCAGGGUGGUGUGGGAUGGGAGAAGUCAUAGGCCAGUCCAGAGCCAUUUAUUUGAUUACCGCAGAUUUCCACUUAGCAUUCAACAAAAGAAAAUCUCAUUCCGCUUCAGUGCAGUUCAGGUUCCGCUUCUGUUCUGUGAUGCAAUGUGGUCACUUUCUAUCCCAAAACCCAAGCCAAGUAAGCAGGCAGUGAGGAGGCACGGAAGCGGAUCAUGUGAUGAGGAUAGACCUUCGCCUGCCAGGGCGACGGGAGGGCGCCCUGCGCGAUGUUGGAAGCGGGUGGGAAUAAGGUGGGGGGGGGCGCGGGAAAGAGGACGAGAAGAUGGGAGAUUGGAAUGAGGGAGGGGGAGGAGGGGGGAAAAGAGGAACCACGAACGAACGAAGCUGAUUUCCUUAUGGCCAAGGAAAGACUGCUGCGGCAGAUGUAAAGAAAGCAUACCCAACCAUGGGAUGAGGGGGCGCGGGAAAAGCUAAACCAUGUGCGAUGACGGCGUCUGCUCACCUCAACUUCAGCUAACAAUUCCUGAUAGCAUCCUGCCCAUUUGGUGCCCGCAUACGCAAGUAAAGCCGGCAGUAUGACCAGCAUCGUGACUGGGUGACUUGCGACCCAUUUCGCUCCGCUGUAGAGCCCAUUCGCGACGUANNNNNNNNNNNNNNNNNNNNNNNNNNNNNNNNNNNNNNNNNNNNNNNNNNGAAAACAGAAGGAAAACCUCCAUCUAAUACCGCUCAGCCGCGUUACUUGCUGUCAACUUGCCAGAAGUCUAUUAUACUGGGUGGGUACUGUCGGGGUCUCACGCGGUCCACGUCACCGAAGAUGUAGAAGAUGUCGGCACAGUGCGGUCAACACUGAAGCAGUAAAGUGGUGCCAGGGCGCAGCGAGCGAGCGAGCGGGCCUUUUCGGCAGCAGCUUCUAUCCACGGAUAGAGGGGUUUACAGCCUCCUGAAGCUAAUUUCUGUUCUAGCAGUGCUAGACAAUAACUCUAUCAAGAGACAAGGGGACGCGCACCGCUGCGCAUCUCCGAAUAGAAUAACUAAUGCGGCCUGUGUACGUGUGUGUGUGUAUGUAUGUUGUUACAGGGUGGUUAGCAUAAUUUUAGUUUACUAAAAUUGUGCUAAGCUUCACCAGCGGCCCCCUUUCCCGAGGCAGUUCCUUGCUCUCCCCUGCUAGAGGGGCACCCUAAUCCGUUCACCCCAUCCGACUUCAGAAUGUAUUCGUUGGGUUCAGCAACUCACCACCAGCAUCCAACUAAAUCUAGCGGAUCAACGGCGCCUCAACUUAGUUCCUGGUCAGCUCGCAAGUUGAUAUUAUCACGUCCAACACCGUCCAUAAGAUGGGGGGCCACCUCCCAUUUCACCACUUCUCAAACACCCGAGAAGUCGGCAGGCGGAUUUGAACCCGGGUAUAUAUAACCCGGGUAUAUAUGUGUGUACGUGUCCCGCAGAAACCCCGUCGGCCCCCACCGUCGCCCAAGCCAUCACCUCCACCACCACCGCCAGGUGAGCUCCGAAACCGCUAAGAUCUCCACGCCGGUAUGCCGUGCACUGAUGUGCGUGUGUAUUUGGGUACGAUGGUGUGUAUGUGUGUGCGCGGUGUAAUUAUAGUAAUAUGUAUAUCUGUAUGUAUGCUUAUGCGGGUGUUGCAGGCAAGCAAUUCCAGGCUUAUAAGUACAAGAAGUACGUCUACAUCUUCUCAGUCAACUCCUACACCUACAGUGAAGCUGCAAACUUCUGCUACUCGCGGGGCUACAGCCUGGUGCCGUACAGGGACUUGCUCAGUAAAGGUAUGCGGGCAGAUCGGCAGCGAACACCAAUGUACGACAAGCUCUUGUGCAGGCGCCCAUGCCGCCGGCACGUACCCGGCCGUGCCUGUGAGCACACGUGUUAGACCUCCUGCUGCCAUGUCUGUCUGUCUGUCUGUCUGUCUGUCUGUCUGUCUGUCUGUCUGUCUGUCUGUCUGUCUGUCUGUCUGUCUGUCUGUCUGUCUGUCUGUCUGUCUGUCUGUCUGUCUGUCUGUCUGUCUGUCUGUCUGUCUGUCUGUCUGUCUGUCUGUCUGUCUGUCUGUCUGUCUGUCUGUCUGUCUGUCUGUCUGUCUGUCUGUCUGUCUGUCUGGUUGCCAUGUACAUCAUGUAUGCAUCCAUGCACACAGCUAGCUAACUCAGGGUUUUAGGGUUACUUAGCAUACACACACAUACAUACAUUGCACUCACUCGUUGCCGUGCCGCAAGCGCGUUUGGGUGAUUGAAAUCUGUAAAUGUACGAACGAAUAUACGAACUAUAAGCACGCGGUCACGGUAUCUCCUCUAUGUAUGUAGGCCAUACAUGUCACACAGCUACAUUGAUAUUAAUCCCCAUGUGUGUAAUCUUCCGCUACCUUACAAGCAAUACAUUACUGCAUAUUGCAAUCCGUGCAUGUACGUGCCUACUCACCACUACUGCAUUACAACAGACGUCACCGGAGCGCUGUGCUUCAACAGUGGACUGGGCUGCUGGGUGGCGGGUGCUCAGAGCGGCUACUGCCCCUUCAUCGACCCAAGUGGGAACGGGGGUCCGUACGCAAGGAACUGCGAAGAAAAGCAACGUGUGCUCUGCUUCCGCCCGAGUCCCUAGCUACAAACAUACAUACAUGUCCAGCAGUCCGUCCACUAUGCAUACUAACGCUCCCACACACCUGGGGGGGGGGGGAAGAGCAUUCUGUCCGGCAGCCGGCGGUAUACUGCUGCUGCUCCUGUGAUUACUGCUGCUGUUACUGCUGCUGUUGCUGCGGUGAAAUGGUGUUUGACAUCCUGCGGCAGGCGGUCGUCUGGGUAUGUAUUGUAUUAUGUCAGUAUGUAUGUGCGAACUUAUUACCGUUUAGAUGGAAAACUGCUUUCUGUACUUAUCGCUGCGUUGCUCGCCCAGUGACUGAUGGCUAUAGAAUAGCGAGCUAGCUAGCACGGCAGCCACCACCACCUGAAGCUCCUAACGAUGCGUGAUCCUCUCACUGACCGUACGUGAGCUUUCUUGCGUGAUCCGUGAAGCUGAGUGCUUGUGGGCACACACACAUGUUGCAGCCAUAUUUGUAUGCAUACGUGUCAGGAGGGUUAUUACAGCCAGCGGUGGCUGCUCCAGGGUGAUUGCUCGUACCCGCUGCCUAUUUAAGCCCAAGCAGGCGUAGCGGGCGCAGUCUCCGCCGGCUGGGUUUUUUACGUCGGUGUGGUACGGUGCUGCUUUUAGAAUAAUAAUAUUGUUGUGUGACCCAUUUGCUCUCUUCCUUGUUGGCUUUCCAUGCAUCCGUCUGGUGUAGCUCGUCGUCGUGAGCUGUGCCUAGUGGAUAGCUGUAGCUGUGACGGCUACGCUGGCAAGGUGCUGCUGUCCCGCUGCUGCAGAAGACCCGGUAUUUAUGGAAACCAAUUAUGCUUGUUUAGCAUAUCUACUGUAUGUGUCUGAAUUCGUAUGAAGCCGUAUGCAGUGUAAUAUAUAAUCCAAAUAAGUAACAAUUCGGGAUUUGGGGCUUGGAAAAACAGAACGAUGGAGUUGUAUAUUUUCAUUCCUUGUUUCAAAACUGACGGACAGUUCUUAAGUUUAGGAAACCUAUUUAAAUUACAGCGUAUCAAUGAGGAGCCGCAGACGCCGCAAGGCAAUCACACCCCUGAACCAACGUGGCACCGCAGCCUAUACGCCUGCAGCUGGUCCAAACACUACAAAAUAUGCGCAAGCAGUGCAAGCCAAGGAAUCCAACACCGCGCAACCACCAAAGCUGCAAAAUAUGCCAGAAACUACUCCUGGUAAGGGCGGUUAGGGUUUUAGAGUUUUAGGACGCGGUCAUGGUCGGACGACGAACACUGAGACCUGCACAGUCUGCACUUGGCUCUGUGUUUGUGUUGUUGGGACUACUGCUAACUCACGGGGGAAGCCGGAGGGGGGCCGGGAGGGGAGCGGAACCACCCCCAGCGCCGCACAGCUAGGUAAUAAAUCAUACAAAGCUCUGAAAAUCUCAUACCUGGUAAGUAAGUAAUGAAAAGGGAAGAAGCACUGGCUGUGUGAGAGCCCUAUGGAGCACCCCAAGUUGCAACUGAACAGGGGCAGCUAAGAACUGUCGCAUAUAUUCGUGUGCGUGUGUGCACUUCACGUAAUGCAUAAAUGGGAACGGAUGUAAAUAAACCUGUCGUUUCGCCACCUCCACCUCCGUACUGCAGCAAUUUUAUUUACUGCUGGCGGCGGCGUGUACAGGUCGCAGAGUAGCAAGGAAGUAGGUGUUAGGAAUGAGCACUGCAGAUAUGUUGCAUCACCACGCACGUACACAAGAAGUAAACAUCGAAGUGGAUAUCCAGGCAGUCGUACACCCGAGCUAGUACGGCAUUGAAGUGCACAUCACGCUGCUGCUGCUGGUGCUGCUGUGUCAGCAGCCAAGUAGUCAUCAUGCAUGUCGUCAUGCGAAUGGAUGUGGUCUCGGAGCCCACCAAUAGAAAGCGUACUUGCUUUAUCCAGCUUCAGACACAUCAUUAGCGACAAAUCGCUCUACCCGACCCCGCGUGUCUCCGCCGAUAACCAGCCCAGAGGCUUCUCGUGCUGUGCUCGCGAGGGUCUGUCACUUAAAAAAUGCUGCGGACUACUCUGCUGCGCACGUGGGUAUAAGUAUUGGGUUUGGCCUGCCUGCCUCAUCCACCUCCACCCCUGCUGCCAGUCUAGAAGCCUAAAAACAACUAACGAAGCAAGCUCGCAAGCCCGCAAGCAAGCAGCGAAAUGUGAUGACAUACAUACAUACAUACAUACAUACAUACAUACACCAGCAGCACGUUCAGCAGUGUCAAAAACAUUACGUUAUGUGUGCACGCAGGCCAGCGUGCACGCAUGCAUUUGUAUCUUGGCUCGGAAGACGUCUGUCAUGGAAAUGCAUGAUCGGGGGGUGAUGAUGACGGCGAGUGUGAUGUUUUCUGCUGCCCGCAACACGCGCAUGACCCCUCCCUCAUGCGGAGGUGCACAUCACCCCACUCCCAGUCAUCCUGCUGCGUACUUCACAAUGUAUAUACCACUGUACGACCACUACUAGCUAGGCCCCAGGAACCGUGACUGCUUCAAGUUGGACUUGUUCCCCCGCGGCUGGUGGUGGCACAUCUGCUACUGCUGCAAUAGUGGCCUGCUGCUGCUGAUGAUGAUGAUGCUGUUGGCCCAAUACUACUCCUGCUCCUGCUGCGGCUGCCACUGCUACUGCUGGUGAACUAACAGCAGUAGCAGUAGCAGUAGCAGUAGCCGGCUGCUGCACCAGGUGUAAUGAUGAGGGCGGCCCGGGUCCGGGUCGUCCCCUAGCUGCGUCGAGAAACUCCACUAGCGUGGACUUGAACUGGCCACUGCGUGCGUGCGUGUAUGUAUGUAUGUAUGCACGUACAUGUGUGAGUAUGUAUGUGCGUAAGUAUCUAUGUACAUGCAAACAAGUCAGCGCAGCUCGGAUAGGUUUGAUGCAAGAACGGGUAUGAUGCAAGCAAGAGCUCAGCAUAAAUGUGUGCAUGUGCCGGAUGGGGACAACACGCACAUACACACACACAUCACACACACACACACACACAUCACAUGCAUGUGGUGGGAAGCCAGCAAGCCCCCGUGAUCCAUAAUGAUUACUUAUAUGAUAUCCAGCAGGUGCCCGCAGUGCCCAGAAUGUCGAGUACGACAAGAAAGCUGCUAACCGGGCGAAUACGCUCAUGCUAGCUUCUGCCAUGCUUACAACACACACACACAUAUAUAUACAUACAUAUCUACAUCUACAUCUAUAUCUAUAUAAACUAGGUAUAGGUGACUAGCGAGCCAGACAGCCUGCCAGACCGACCUGCAUGUGGGCACUAGGUGUGCGCCUCCGUGGGUGUACGACGAGACAGUUGCGGGGUUGAAACAGGCCCCCAGCUGGGCUGUCCGUUCCGGGGGAACCUGAAACACAUUCGCAGGUAAGGUAUAUGUAUCUAUGUACGUAUGGAUGUACGUAUGUAUGUAGGGAUUAGAGGAAAACAACGCUAGUGGAAACACGUGAGGAGAUGUGUACCAACCGAAUGCGAGCGAGCAGUGCAGCAAUGUGCAGCAAAUUAAAGAGGAGCUCAGCUCCGUCCUUGUACAAAUACCAGCACCAGCACCAGUACCAGUACCAGUACCAGUGGCAGCAACAGCAGCAGUAGCAGCGGCAGUAGCAGCGGCAGUACCAACACCUAAAUGCAAGGUCGCCCCCCACCCACCCACCCACCAGUGAGUCAGACGUCCCGGUAACCAAGAGCAAGGGCACCCGGCUGCUGCAGCUGCCCGCCCGGACCAGUUCCGCUACAGCCGGGUCCCGGGGGAGGAAGCCGGCAACCUGCCGGGGUGUGUGUGUGUGGGGGUGAGUGGGCAUAAUGUGGCAGCAAUAUCAGGAAUUAAUGACCAAUCGCUUCGUGCAUUGCUAAGGUGAUGACGGUUACAUGUAUGUUCGUGUGUAUGUUUGUAUGUGCGUGCUUCGGGCCCUUGAUGUCAACGUUACUCCUCCAACACGUGGGCGAUGAAGGCGGCCUCCGAUCCCUUCCCGGCCGAUGAGGAUCCACGGAUGUACAGAAGAGUGUACGGCCAAUAGAUGAGUGUACGGCCAUAGAAUGGUAUACGACCAUGAAACCUAUCAAGGGGGAAAACUACACGCAUAUACACACACCGCUAGUUAGAUUGGCUACGUACCAGAAUUGCGCAUUUCAGGCUCCGCAACAGCGCUGCAGGACUAGCAGCUGAGGCAACAGCGGGCUCUCCGCCACUGCCACCGUUCUGCCGGUCACCGCUGCUGCCAUCGUGCUGCUGCUGCUCCACCUGCUGCUUGAGCCCACCAGCGAAAGUCGCAUCAUCAGCAGUAGCAGUAGCAGUAGCAGUGGCGGUGGCGGCCAGGUGCGACAGCAGCAGUGCGGCGGCUGUAGCGCCCUGGCUGAAGCCCAACAAACCUACAACACGUGCAAACAAGCAGGCUGCUUACCAUACAGCACUGUUGCUAGCACGUCCGCUAUUACAAUACGGGUUGGGCCUUCAGAAAGUCAGCUGCCACUUGUCUGUCAGCUGCUGCUGUCGCUAUCUUUCAGUCAGUCAGUGGUUCAGCAGCGCAAUACUGCUUAGAAGAACGAUACCCCUGUACGGCAACUGCCCCUAGGUGCGCAACCCGUCCACCCGCUGAGUACGCAUAUCACCGGUCGAUUGCCCGGGAGCACAGACGUAGUAGCUAUACAAGUACGGCACACACGUAUAUAUCGUCUACAAAUACGCGCUAGGGCGCUCCACCAGCAUCUUGAGAGGCCUCUUAAGCGGCGGCCAGCAGGUACGACACCACCUCCCCUGUCCUGCCCUGUCUUGUUCUGCUAGCCCGUGAGCCCUGCGGCAGCUGCAGCUCCUCUGCUCCUCCUCAAUCCACCGCUACACCGCCCACCACUGCCUGAUGCCCAGCUCCGCCCCUGCUCACCAUCCGGCUGAUGCAGCCGCAGCGCCUCCAGGAGCGAGUCCUGCGCCACCUCCCACCCUGCAAGAAACACGCCAAGCAGCCCAACCGAAUGAACAAACAGAAAAUAGAUAGACAAACAAACAAACAGCCAAACAGCCAAUGCUAGGCCCAAGUAGCAGCCGCCGUACAUGUGGGUAUACACACCCACACGACAACAAGUAACCAUAGCAUUGUCACGUGCUCCGCACAGGCAUACAUACAUACAUACACAUGCAUACAUACCCGUAUAGGACGCGGCCUUGGAGGGCCUUCCCUCCGGCCCCGUAUCCGUCCACUGCCACCAGGAGCGGCCCUCCCGCCCCCCCUGGACCUCCUCAGGGUCGUCACCCCCCGGAAGACCCUGUGGUGGCGGGGAGGGUAGUGGCGGGAGGGUGGCGGUCUUGGUGAUGAUGGCGGUGAACAGGAACAGUAAAUGACAGCGACACCACAGCGGCGCUACAUACAUACAUACAUACAUACAUACAUACAUACAUACAUACAUACAUACAUACAUACAUACAUACAUACAUACGCCAGUCGCACCUGCGCUUCAAAGGGUGCAUCCACGAACACGAACUCGACUCGGCUCUUGAGGGCCUUACGCAUGGAGCCCAGCCGGCUGCGGAAGAUCUGCAUGACAACAUAUACAUACGCACAUACGUAAUCGUUUGAUUGUUUGCUCAACUGUUUGAAUCUUUGCCACAUCGCCAGGAAUGCCAUGUAGGUCUUAGCUGUUACCCUCUAACCAGCAAGCUAAUAAGCAGGUAAGCAGGUAAGCAACUAAGCAGCCAGACAGCUAGACACGAGAGUCACGCACCUACCUCGGCGUUCUGCAUGUAGCCGUGCAGACAGAGCAGUUUGAGCUUGGGGACGGAGUCGGCCACUGCACGGGUAAGGCAGGGUUAAUGUACGGCAAAUGAGGAAGGAGCAGCAGUAAGGAUACACAUGUACAUGGCCGAAUUACAACUAGACUCUGAGUAAAUGCGGGCAGCAUGUUACUACAGAUGUAGGCAUAUGUUGAGGAGAGCCGUCAGGGCCACAACAACGGAGUUCUCCACUAGUUGGAUUACUGGUGGAAAUUCAUCAUCGUCUCGUGAUCUGCUCUUCCAGCGAGGACCAGGGUGGUGAGCGGACUUGCAAGCAUGGAUGGGUCAUUGCGCGCAGGGGCCUGACACAUCAGUUCAUGAUGAUAGGAAAUAAAGCUAAUACUUGAUGCCACAAAACAAUGACGUGCACGUGGAAGGAUGCACGCGAGAGAGGACGGUUGAUGGCAAGCCGUGAUGUUCUCACAACUGCAGAUCCCGGAAAUUCCAGCUAUACUCACUUUUGCCACGAUGUGUAAUGAGGCCGUCUCCACCGGUCUGUCUGGUGCCUUCGGCACCCUGGCCCGUGCGGAUGGCGUCGCUGCCGCUGUAGCCGCUCCGAGCGUCCUCGACGGGCUUGGGGGCUGGCUUCAAAGCUGCGUGAGAAAAUCUUAAGCGCCUUGCGGCGGUUGCUCCUAAUGUUAGACCUGGCCGUGCCUGCGCAAUGCGCAAAACUGCCCUGCUGGCUGUGGUGCAGAGCAUGCCAAAUUGAGAUCAGACAGCGAGUCGCUUGUAGAAGUACAAGCCCCUACAAAUUAUGAAAAGCUUUACAUUAUGACUAAACAUAACUUUGGUUUUCCUGUUUCCGUUGCGGCCUGCUGGCCUUUGUACAAAGCUACAAACCGAGCAUCGAAGUUUUAACCUAGACCUUUAGUAAGAAACUUGGGAGCUGUCCAUUGUGAGAAGUAAAUCGGCCGCGAAUUGCAAGUUCACAAUCCUGUGUCAGGUAGGCUAUUUGAACGGCAGCUUCACGUGAUGGGCAAUUAGGUCUGCCUCAGUUUAGAGUAGCAAUCUAAAGUAGCAAUAUGCACUACACUUAAACCUAUCCAGUCUCGUAAAGGAAAAGACCCUCGUAUAGCCGUUCUGCUGGGCGUAUCGGGUGUCGAGCCAUGACGUUGAGCAAGCCCCUGCCGCGCACAAUCACCCUUCAUAACGGAGUUGAGCUUCCGGUGAGGUUGAGACGGCGGCACAUGAGUCCCAAGUCUUGGCGGAACGGCCAAGCUUGUGGGUCAUAUGCUCCAUCCGACUGUCAGGCUACGUAGACAUCACGUACUGCGGCUGCCUCUCAUUAUCGUUUGCGCAUUUGUCCCUUUAUGACGAUCGAAAUGAUUGGGGUUCGGGGCUGUGUCGGCGCCCAUUACGUCAGUUGAUACCUCCUCACGCCAUUGCAUGGCGCCCCCUCCUCUCUCACUAAAGACACACACGGCUCGUCUCUCCAUCAAUCGUACAACACGAUGAAAUCAUCUUUUAGGGUCUCUCUUGCACGUGCUUUACCAAGCCGUGCACUUCAAUCCCAUCCAAAUUCCUUCAUCGUACAAAUUGUGUCGCAUUGUCGUUCCGUAUCGUACCGCAGGCGGUGGGUCUGGGCACGUUCCGAGCUCAGGGUGAUGACGCGCGUACGGCAGUACUGGCGGCGCUACGGUCAGGAUUGCGCCACAUUGACACGGCCUCUAUCUACAAGGUACGCAAUUCAAAAACUUUAAGGGUACGAAUUGUCAAGGGUGGGUAAUCCGUACUUUUAAGGGACAGACCCCACCAAAGGGAUUGGCGAAAAGGGGGGUGUCGGGGGACUGGAAACUCCGCCACCACCAAGCAAACCACCACCAAAAGUGAGUGAGGUCCAGAUGCCUAAUCAGGCGCUGAGACGAGGCGGCCUCGAACGGGACGGAGGGCGCCUGCUGACGAGUGGUAGAGGAGGGGGUAGAGGCACGGCCGCGGGGCAAGAUUAUCGUCGUACCGGCAUUUCUGAUCAGGGGUAAAUGUCGUACGGGCCGUAGGAAGGGAGUCCGCCAGCUUUCCGAUCCAUUCGAGGGGUUCUGCAUCGUCGUACAUCGCCCGGAUCAGUUUACAGCUCUUCCGUACUACCAACCCCACCCCACCCCCCAACCUCCCCCAUCACCCUUUGCUUCAUCACAUGAUUUCCGGAACCAACAUAACCGCCGCGAUAACGAACUAACAACCAACCAACAGAAUGAGGCGCCCAUCCGCCAAGCCCUGGCUGAGAGCGGGGUGCCGCGGGAGGACGUGUUUGUGACGAGCAAGGUCUCACCGUACGAGCAAGGUGCAGGACGAGCCCGUACAGCCGUGGAAGGUAUCAUGGAACGCCUUGGACUGCAGUACUUGGUACGACGUCCUACGAAUGCACCCCGCUUAGACUCCGGUCGUAUAUACCAAUGUGGGUUUAAACUUCCUUUCCCCAACUCCCCACUCCCCGCGCACAGCCCACCCAAACCCACACCCCAACCCCAUCCGACGCCUCAUGUCGUACAUUCGAGAUUUUGAGUCCAUUUUUAGUCGGUGGCACCACCUUUCCAAAACCCGACUUCUUUUCCAACUCCCCUCUGACUCCCCCCCCACCACCACCAUCAUGGAACCCCUUCAAGUCACAAUCUCCCCCCGUCCCCACACAUACACACACAUACACACACACAUACACACACAUACACACACAUACACACACAUACACACACAUACACACACAUACACGCCCAAACCAGCCCAGGGUUCCAGUGCGUCAUCAUCACGUGCCUUUGGACCCCAGAGACCCACCGGUAUUGGAACUGCUGUCGUACACUCCCGUACCCCCCCUACCUCCCCCC